RNAcentral lists this ribosomal RNA (414 nucleotides) under uncultured bacterium. RNAcentral describes it as "bacterial SSU rRNA". It matches the Rfam family "Bacterial small subunit ribosomal RNA", at positions 358 to 770 of the family's 1533-position model. The record is from RNAcentral.
GGAAUAUUGGUCAAUGGGUGAGAGCCUGAACCAGCCAUGCCGCGUGCAGGAUGACAGCCUUCUGGGUUGUAAACUGCUUUUGUCAGGGAAGAAAACGACUAUGCGUAGUCAAUUGCCGGUACCUGACGAAUAAGCCCCGGCUAACUCCGUGCCAGCAGCCGCGGUAAUACGGAGGGUGCAAGCGUUGUCCGGAUUUAUUGGGUUUAAAGGGUGCGUAGGCGGGCCUUUAAGUCAGUGGUGAAAGCCCAUCGCUCAACGAUGGAAUUGCCAUUGAUACUGAAGGUCUUGAAUUCAGUUGAGGUAGGCGGAAUUUAUGGUGUAGCGGUGAAAUGCAUAGAUACCAUAAAGAACACCGAUUGCGAAGGCAGCUUACUGGGCUUGAAUUGACGCUGAGGCACGAAAGCGUGGGGAUCG